Long non-coding RNA from Sebastes umbrosus (honeycomb rockfish), 201 nucleotides. RefSeq lists it as uncharacterized. NCBI's taxonomy places the organism in Eukaryota, Metazoa, Chordata, Actinopteri, Perciformes, Sebastidae. The record is from RefSeq and is a predicted model, not a curated record. The transcript has 3 exons.
CUAAAGCUGCAUGCUAACUCUGACAUGGACAGGAAACGUUAUCGUAUUGCGGUAACGUGCGAUCAAGCCAGCCGUCACUCGCAUCUCCGUGGUCAAAUAAGCCAACGAUACAACUGUAGCGCACCGAUAUACUGACAUUUAUGUUAAAUACAUUUUGGCCCCGAUGGAGCUGACCAUGGAUGUAUAAAGAGAACGGAGCUA